This 116-nucleotide ribosomal RNA is filed under the name uncultured bacterium. RNAcentral's name for it is "partial 16S ribosomal RNA". It matches the Rfam family "Bacterial small subunit ribosomal RNA", at positions 1386 to 1500 of the family's 1533-position model. The record is from RNAcentral.
CACACCGCCCGUCACGUCAUGGGAGUUGUCAAGGCGUGAAGUCCGUGGGCCAACCGCAAGGAGGCAGCGGCCGAGCGCCGGGGCAGCGACUGGGACGAAGUCGUAACAAAGGUACC